RNAcentral lists this ribosomal RNA (422 nucleotides) under uncultured bacterium. RNAcentral's name for it is "partial 16S ribosomal RNA". It matches the Rfam family "Bacterial small subunit ribosomal RNA", at positions 362 to 776 of the family's 1533-position model. The record is from RNAcentral.
UCUUACACAAUGGGCGAAAGCCUGAUGGAGCAACGCCGCGUGGGUGAAGGAGGUGUUCGGAUCGUAAAACUCUGCUGUGAGGGAAGAACCAGUACAGUAGUAACUGGCUGUACCUUGGCGGUACCUUAUUAGAAAGCCAUCGCUAACUACGGGCCUGCAGCCGCGGUAAUACGGAGGUGGCAAGCGUUGUCCGGAAUUAUUGGGCGUAAAGCGCGCGCAGGCGGUCCUUUAAGGCUGAUGUGAAAGCCCACGGCUCAACCGUGGAGGGUCAUUGGAAACUGGGGGACUUGAGUGCAGAAGAGGAAAGUGGAAUUCCAAGUGUAGCGGUGAAAUGCGUAGAGAUUUGGAGGAACACCAGUGGCGAAGGCGACUUUCUGGUCUGUAACUGACGCUGAGGCGCGAAAGCGUGGGGAGCAAACAGG